RNAcentral lists this ribosomal RNA (431 nucleotides) under uncultured bacterium. RNAcentral's name for it is "bacterial SSU rRNA". It matches the Rfam family "Bacterial small subunit ribosomal RNA", at positions 29 to 507 of the family's 1533-position model. The record is from RNAcentral.
AACGAACGCUGGCGGCAGGCCUAACACAUGCAAGUCGAGCGCCCCGCAAGGGGAGCGGCGGACGGGUGAGUAACGCGUGGGAACGUGCCUCUUGCUACGGAAUAGCCUCGGGAAACUGGAAGUAAUACCGUAUGUGCCCUACGGGGGAAAGAUUUAUCGGCAAGAGAUCGGCCUGCGUUGGAUUAGGUAGUUGGUGGGGUAAUGGCCUACCAAGCCGACGAUCCAUAGCUGGUUUGAGAGGAUGAUCAGCCACACUGGGACUGAGACACGGCCCAGACUCCUACGGGAGGCAGCAGUGGGGAAUCUUAGACAAUGGGCGCAAGCCUGAUCUAGCCAUGCCGCGUGAGCGAUGAAGGCCUUAGGGUUGUAAAGCUCUUUCAGUGGGGAAGAUAAUGACUGUACCCACAGAAGAAGCCCCGGCUAACUCCGUG